UUUCACAAAAAAUAAAGGAGCAUCCAACAGAUAGACCAUAUGUCUAAAAAAACUCCUUACCCCCAUUCAAUUUCCUUCCCCUCCUCUUUCAAUCUGGUUCUCUUAGCCUCCCCCUCACCCUUCUAGUAUCAACAUUCGAAGAAGCAUUCCCCUCCAAGUAAGUUGAUUUCUCCCCUUUUAGAUUUUUUGUCGCAAGAACAUGAGCAAAUUCAUUUGCUAGUCUUGGAACAUGAUUGAAACUAAUUUUUUGAAAAUUAUUCUUCAUUUGUUGAAUAUUUUUUAUGUAAACACCAAUCAGUGAUUUAUCAAAUUCCAGAGACUUACAUUUCUUAACUGUUGUUAAUGAAUCCCUUUCGAUAAUGACUCGGCUCUAUCCUUUGUUAACACUCACUCUUACCACAAGUUGACAUGCUAAAGCAUCAGUAGCAAAGGCAGACGCUACUCCUUCAUGAAAACUUGUACAAGUGAAGAGUAUUGUUCCACACUCAUCUCUAGCAACCACUCUUAAUGCCGAUUGAAAACUCCGGCCAUCAAAAGCACCAUCAAAGUUUAUUUUGAUGACUAAACUCAUCGGAGUUAUCCAAGUAACUGCCUCCUUACUAUUUGUACAGGUAUAUUUUUCCAACCCUUCAAGUUCUCCUAUAUAGCUAGAAAUAAAAUUUGUAGUAUCUUUACCUAUAAUAACUUUCUUUUCAUUAACCCUUUUGUUUUUGUCCUUCCAAAUAGCCCAGAGUGCACAACAGAGUAACUUCCUUAAAUGGGUGGUACAAGAUUCAUAAAUUCUAGGUAAGCCAAUAUUUGAACUCCAGACCUUGAUUAAUUAAAAAUUGCAGACAAAUAACUUUGACCAAACAUCAACUGUUAUAGGACAUUGCUAGAACAAAUGAUCCAUUGAUUCAUCCUCACCUCCACAUAAUGUAAUUUUAAGUUAGCAAAUGUAGGUAGAUAGUUCUAAGAAAUCCUUCAGAAUGUAAUUUUAAUUUUUCCCGGGAGGUCUAGUUUCCAUAAGAGCUUAUAAAAAUCACAAGAUCUGGUCUGUAAUGCAUAAGUACUAGGAUCCUCCAAAUUUUUUUGUAAUAGUUUGUAGGUGCUACCAACCGAGAACUCCCCCGAAAGCUCCCCACCUCAUAUCAAAAAAUCUUCAUGGGCAUCCUGAGCAAGCAGAAUCUGAAGAAUAUGAUCAACAUUCGACUGCAUGAAGGUAUCCUUAAUUAACCCCUGCUUCCAACUUCGACAUUAGAAUCAAUUAACUUUGACACCAUUAAAUUUUGCAAAAUUUGACUAUUACUGGACACUCUAAAAUUUUCAUUACCAAGAAUCCAUGCAUCAUCAAAUACAGAGAUUUUAUUCCCUAAACCCACACGCAGACAUAAGCCCUCCUUUAAAACCCCUUUAGCCGCUCAAAUACUUUUCCAUGUGUAUGACGGAUUAGUCUCUAAUUGAGCAUCCAUAAAAUCAGAUCUUGGGAAAUAUUUAGCUUUCAACACCCGACUAAUAAGUGAAUUUGGACAAGUACUAAUUCUCCACCCCUGUUUGGCUAGCAAAGAAAUAUUAAACUUUCCCAAGUCUCUAAAACCGAUCCCUCUGUUCUCCUUCAACUUACACAUAUGUCUCCAUUCAAACCAAUGAAUCCCAUGCCUCCCUUGUCCUUUUUGCAACCAGUAUUUCGCUAUAAUGCUUUUAAUUUCACCACAAAAAUACUUAGGAAAUAAGAAACAUUACAUUGCAUAAGUGGGAAUUGCUUGCAACACAGUUUUAAUAAAGAUUUCUUUUCCCCCUUGUGACAAGAGCCUUGUACUCCAAUUCUCGAUUCUUACAUUAAUCCUAUCCUUUAGACUUUGGAAAGAUGCUUUUCUAUUUUUACCCACCAUAUUUGGAAACUCCAAAUACCUUUCAGCAUUACUUGAAAAACACAAUCUCGUCAAAUUUGAAACCCAGUUCUUUUCCCUCUCAAGUACAUUUGAGCUAACAAAAAUUGAUGAUUUACUGAAGUUCACACUUUGGCCAAAACAAAUUUCAUAUUCCUUAAGAAUAUCUUUCAAUAAGAGAGCAUCUCUGGUUGUCGCCUCCCCAAAAAGGAUACUAUCAUCUGCAAACAAAAUAUGUGAGAUUCUAGGCCCUCAUCUACUAGCUUGUACCCCUUUCAAAAACCUCCCAUCCAUAUCCAGCCUCAUCAGGACUGAAAUUCCUUCAAUGCAAAAGAGAAAUAAAAAAGGACUAAGAGAAUCCCCUUGACGAGGGCCUCUUGAAGGCCAAAAAUGUCUUCCCAUGCAACCAUUAACCAUUACCGAGUAAGAAGUCGAAGAAAUACAUCUUAAAAUGAGCCCUAACUAAUCAGUACCAAAACUCAUCUUUAACAUAAUACCUCUAAAAAAGCCCAUUCAACCUUGUCAUAGGCUUUACUCAUAUUUAACUUUACUGACAUAUAGCAUUUAUUACUAGUAUGCUUUUGGAAAAAAAGUGUACAGCAGUUCAUAAGCAAGUAAGACAUUAUCAAAAAUCAAUCUCCUCAGUACAAAAGUGCAUUGAGCACAAUCGACAUAGUUCCCAACAACACUCUAAAGUCUAUUUGCUAAAACUUUUGCCACAAGUUUAUAUAAAAUAGUACACAAGCUAAUGGGUUUAAAAUUUGUUAAAUUUUUUGGAUUUUGGAUUUAGGAAUAAGAACGAUCUCGGCAACAUUUGCAAGUUCAAGAUCAUUAUCUUCAUUAAGAACAUCCAAACAGUAAGCAAGAACAUCCUUCAUAAUGAUAUGCCAGUACUUCUAGAAAAACAUAGCUGGGAAACCAUUAAACCCGGAGCUUUUCUGGGCCCUAUUUCUUUCAAAGCUGUGUAAACUUCCCCCUCCGUGAACUUUGCUAAAAGGAAGAUAUUCUUGUCUUAAGAGAUGCUUGUUUUAAUCCCUGAUAAAAUAUGCAACAAAUCUUCAAUCCCAUUCGAAGAAAAUAGAUUUUGAAAAUAAUCCAUAGCUAGCUCCCCAAACUCAUCCUCCAUGCUUGCUAAUGUACCAUCUUCGUAAUCCAAACUUUCAAUGAUAUUUUUCUUUCUUCGAAACGAAGUGUAUCUAUGGAAAAAAAUCGUGUUUUUAUCAUUUAAAUGAAGCCAAUUAGCUCUUGCCCGCUAUUCUCAAAAAGCUUCAUCCUUAUCAAGUUUAAAGUUCAAUUGAAUCUUGACAUCAAUGAGUGCCGCCAAAUUAUCAUCAUCUCGAUCCUCAGCCAUAAGAUCAUCCAAUUUUUUUAGAAAGGACAUAUUUCAAUUUAUUACGAUUUUCCUUAAUCAUCUUCUCCCAAUUAAUCAAACCAGUACUCAAAUCUAUUAAUUUUUCAAAGAUAGAACCUUUGGCUGAAUCCUAAAGUCUCAUAAUUUCUCCUUCAAAAAACUCCUCCAACGUCCAUCACACCUCAAAUUUAAACAUAGUUGCUUUGCUUGUCCUUGAUUCUCUAACAAUAUUAAGAAGGAUCAGACAAUGAUCCGUGAUAGAAUGUGGAAGAUGUUUGAUUUUCGUGUGAGGGAACAUGCCCAACAACUCCUUAUUAGCACCCACUAUCCAACAUCUCCCUAAUAUUUGUCUCAGGCAAGUUUCCACGUUCCCAAGCGAACCAAUUUCCCACAUACCCCACAUCCCUAAAUUUACAAUCAUCAAGUUCUCUUUGAAAAGCCUUCAUUCUACAUUCCUCCCUUGGUACCCCACCAACCUUCUCGAAAGAAUAUAAAAUUUUAUUAAAAUCUCUGCACACUAUCCAAGGAAAAUUCUUAUCAUUCCAUAACCUUCUUAAAAGAUUCCAAGUUUCUUCUCUAAAACCCACAUAAGGUGCACCAUAGAAACCUGUAAAGCACCGCAACCUAUCAUUAACAUUUUCUAUUAUGAGAACAUCCAUGUGAUUUUUUGAAUAACUCCUCAACUCAACAUUAACGUCCUCCUUCCAAGCUAGACAUAACCCACCCUUUGAACCAGUCGCCCCCAUUUUAAUCCCAAAAUUAAAACCACAAUGCUGUCUCACCUUCUCUAUUCUAUUUUCAUCAAUUUUAGUAUCCAUAAAGAAGAACAAAUGGGGAUAGUAAAACUUCACCACUUAUCAUAGUCUUUAUACUGUCCGUAGACUCCCCAACCGACGAACAUUCCAGCAUAAGAUUUUUAUUGUUCCCGGCCGGCUUAUCGAUUGGUAGCCACCGAUCCUUGUUGAAAAGAAACAUCAACCUGUUCCCACAAAUUUGACUCCAUUUCUAAAACCCCAAGAUCAUCAUAUUUUCCUUCCAUAAUUCUUAUUUUUUUAUUAUUUCCCCCUUUAAAGCUUACUGUCUAACCUUUUCAAGGUCCAUUAUUCCCACUUUUCGCUUUCCUAUGCCACUUGGUCCAUCUUGAAACUUUCCUUUUUUUAGUCUAGUGACACGUUUUCAACUGGCAUUUUUUGUAUUAUGGGAAAAUUUUGCAUCUAGAUUAAUAGGCCCCAACUUUGAUUGUAUCUUAUCCCAUUACCUUUGCAUAUCAUCCUCAAUUAACUCUUUAGACAACUCCCAUCUCAAUGUAUCCUCCAAAAUUUUAGGGAGUGAAGGAGGCACAAAAUCUUUUAAACUCUAGUAAUUAACAGUAGUUUCCAAAAUUGAAGGUGUAACACUCAUUAUCCGUACCCGAGACCGGGACAAGGUACAGGGCAUUACUGUGCACGAACAUGACAUUUUCAAAAAAAUUUGGGCUAUAAAAUUUCAUUCCAAAUUAAAACCAAUCAAUCAUAUUCAUAAUAUCCCUAUUAUGGACCUACGAGGCCUAAAACAUACAUUGAGAAUGGUCUGGGACUAAAUUGAGAACUUAAGAAAGUUUUUGGAAAAUUUCUUAGGUUAAGCCUCAAAUGUCUGUGUGGAGGCAAUGCACAUGCCCCUAUGCUUUGGGGCACGCUCGUGUCCCUUACCCGUGAGGAAUUAAUUGAAUUUAUUUUUAAUUUCAAACCUACAGGGGUUUUCACACGACCGAGCACAUGCCAGUGUCCAUGGCCCGUGUACUUCACACGGCCUAGACACGUUCGUGUUAUCACCCGUGCUUAAAAACUCGAGCAUUCUGUUUAUGACAUCAUCAUGCAUUUAGGGAUACACGGCCAGGACACACGUCCAUGUGCUAGGCCGUGUCCACACGGUUGAGACACACGGCCGUGUCUCUACCCGUAUGUUUACUACCAUGCAUUCUGACCUAAAACUUUUAGGUGCAGGGGACACACGGCCAUACCAAACGCCCGUGGGGCUGACGGUGUGUCACACACGGCUUAGACACACACUUGUGUGUGUCUAUUCGUAUGGAUCUUUUUGGAGGCUACAAAUCUAAGCCAAUGGUCACCCUCAAUAACCACUCAUAUCCGUGAACUUCAAUAAUGUUUAACAUGGCCUAAAUAUGCCUAAGUACUACCAUAAAUGGUUUAUUGCAUGUUAACCUCAUCUCAUCGGUUAUGUACAUGCUAAUUUAUCCUCUUUGUAUUUAGGAUUUAGAUCUCAUUCAAAAACACGUUUAGACUUGGCUCAUUAUUAUAACUCAUUGCCAGUUAUGACCUAACCAUCCCAAGUGAUUUGGCCACAUUUCAUAUAUUUGUUUAUAAUAUACUACAUUUAAUCAUCACAAGAACAUUUAACCACAAACAAGCACAAUUAUUAAGUCAUAACCUAUAUCAAAAUGAGUCAUGUCUUAUGGCCAUAUACAAAAAGAAUAAGUUUAAUAUUUAAGCCUUUACAUAGGCCAACCAAUGACAUAUAUCACAAAAUAACCAAAACCUAUACAUGCCAUUGAAAAAAAAUAAAGUAUCUAUAUACCAAAGCAAAACAAGUUGAUAGUGUUGACAAUACUCCAAUCGCCUUCCAAUCUUCACGAGUUCAUAAACUUUGUAAAACAAGGAAAUGAGAGGGGGUAAGCAUUAACAUGCUUAGUAAGUCCGGAUAACGAGAAAGUAAACUUACCGGGUAUUUAGCACGAAAUCAUACAAGACAUUCAGACCAAACAUUCAUAGUAAAAUUUCCUAUUACAUGUACUCAACCAUCAAGUUAGUCUCAUGCCAGUACAAUGUAACAUCUUUCAUAGAUGAGCUCAUCAAUUCAAACAUGUCUAUUCCCAUUUAACAUUUUAAUCCCGUCGAAUUUCUUGGAAUCUCAAUGGAUAUCUCGUUUACCAUCAAAUCAUGCAAGUGAUCCUUUAAAUACGCACUCCUGUGUACCUCACUUUUAUGGCGAGAUUACCAGUCCAGGCUAAAUCCCCCACAAUGUAACUUACAGUGUAAUGUUGGGAUUACUAGUCCAGGCUAAAUCGCUUACAAUGACAUAUACUCCUAUGAGUUCAGGUCUGAAUUUCCAGUCCAGGCUAAAUUCAGAUCCUAUUCGGAUUACACGUCCGGGCUAAAUCCGUCAAAGCACACAUAUUCCUUGGGUUGCUAGAUCACUAUAGGAUCAGAGUUCGGGCUAGAUCUUUUGUACCAUUAUUUUGUUUUCGAGUAAUCCAUGAGAAUCCCUUUUUAUUCAACCGGGACAUUUCAUCAUAACAUUAAUAUUUCAUAAGUUGUCAUACAAUAAAUAUUACUAUUAUAAUUCAUACAUGUACGUACAUCUUUAAUGUAUUUUAAAGAUAGUUUACAUUCGAGUUACACGAACAUACUUGGUAAUUGCUUAGGUUUCGCAUUUCAGUUAUUCUAAAACCUUUCGUUUUCCACGAUCGAUCUCCGAAAUUGGUUCCUUAGGGUCUAUAUUAGUAAAAUAAAUUAUUAAUACCUCAUGUUAUUUAUUUCGGCCCUAAAAUUCACACUCAGGCAAAAUGACCAUUUUGCCCUUAACAUUUCAAAAUUUUAGAACUUAGUCCCUAGGCUCGUAAAAUGAAAUACAUGCAAUUCCUUGGUUACCCAAGCCUAGCCGAAUGUAUUAUAAACUCAUACUAGCCCACGUUUUACUCUAUUUAACAUUUCUACCACAUAUUUUGUACAUUUUGCAAAAAGGUCCUUUUAUGGGUUUUUCAUGAAAAUCACUUAGGAAAAGAUGUUUAACACACAUCUAACUUUCAUAUCCCCCCAUAAAUCAUCAAAGAAAAAACAUGUCACACAUGGUUCAUUUUGCAUACAUGAACUCUAGGUUAAAAUAUGGGUAGAAAUGGAGAGAACAUAUUACAAAGAUCUAAAAAAUACAAAGAACACAUGCUUACUUUCAUAUUCUAGGCCUCAUAAUAAUCAUAAAAUAAAUAUUUUGAAAACGGAUUUGUGAUCCCAAAACCACUGUUCCGACUAGGCCCAAUUUUGGGAUGUUACAUUUCUCCCCCUUAGGGACUUUCGUCCUCGAAAGUCUUACCAGUAAACAGGUUCGAAUAUUGAAUUUUCAUGGUUUCUUCAGGUUCCCAUAUGGCUUCUUCCACUACGUGUCUGUGCCAUAAAACUUUUACCAAGGAUAUAUUCUUUUUCCUUAAUUGUUUGACUUCUCGAGCCAAAAUUUUGACCAGUUCUUCACCAUAGGUCAUGUUCGGUCUAAUGUCAACUUCCGUUGGUGAAAUCACAUGUGAGGGAUCUGAUCUAUGUCACGUAACAUGGACACAUGGAAAACAUCGUGAAUCUUUUCCAUUUCGGAUGGUAAGGCUAACCGGUUGGCUAAAGGCCCAAAUCAUUCAGUAAUCUCGUAUGGUCUAAUAAACCGCGGGCUCAAUUUGCCUUUCCGGACAAAUCUCAACCUUUUUCCAGAUAGACGCUUUCAAGAAUACUUUAUCUUUGACUUGAAACUCAAUCUCUUUCCUUUUUAAAUCGGCAUAUGACUUUUUCCUAUCCGAUGCCGCUUUCAAACAAUUGCGAAUCACUUUAACCUUUUCUUCAGUUUUCUUGAUGAAGUCAACCCCGUGAAUCUGGUGUUCCUUGAGUUCCGUCCAAUAUAAUGGAGUUUGACACUUCCGGCUGUAUAAUGCCUCAUAAGGUGCCAUCUUUAAACUCGUCUGGAAACUGUUGUUGUAGGCGAACUCCACCAAUGGCAAAUAUUUUUCCCAACUACCCUGAAAUUCAAGGACGUAACAUCGUAACAUAUCCUCAAGGGUCUGAAUCGUCUACUCAGACUGACCAUUGGUCUGUAGGUGGAACGCCGUACUAAAGCUCAACUUUGUACCCAAGGCUUCUUGUUGUUUCUUCCAAAAUCUUGAAGUGAAUCUCGGGUCUUUAUCUGAAAUGAUCGACAACGAUAACCCGUGUAAUCUCACAAUCUUGGAUAUGUAUAAGUCGGCAAAUCUAUCAAGAGAAUAAUCUGUCCAUAUAGGAAUAAAAUGAGCCGACUUCGUUAGUCUAUCCACUACAACCCAAACAACAUCUUUCUUUUUCGAGGUUAACGGUAGUUCAGUCACGAAGUCAAUGGUGAUCCUAUCUCAUUUCCAUUCAGGAACCAUUACAGGCUGUAAUAAACUUGAAGGCACUUGGUGUUCAGCCUUGACUUACUGACAUAUCAAGCAUUUCGACACAAAUUUAAAUAUGUCUCUUUUCAUGCCAUUCCACCAGUACAUUUUCUUCAAAUCAUUGUACAUUUUGGUACUUCCUGGGCGAAUUGGCAGAUGACUAUCAUGUACCUCUUGCAAAAUUUUCUAAAUAAGCUCAUCAUCUUUGGGUACAGAAACCUUAUCUCAAAACAUUAAACAACCAUUAGAAUCAAUCUGAAGAUUUGAUUCAACUCCCCUUUCACAUCGUGCUCUUUUGACUUGCAAGUCACUAUAAUUGAUCUGAGCUGCGCAAACCUUUUGGAGAAAUAUCGGUCUGGCCCUCAACUCCACUAAAACCGAACCAUCAUCAGAUAACGCCAAAUGCGUGUUCCUAACCCUCAGAGUAGACAAGGACUUUCUGCUCAACAUGUCGGUAACUACAUUCGCCUUACCAGAAUGGUAAUCGAUCACAGGCUCAUAAUCCUCAAUCAACUCUAGCCACCUUCGCUGUCUCAGAUUCAAUUCCUUUUGAGUCAUCAAGUAUUUCAGACUCUUGUGAUCGAUGAAUACACGGUAAGUUUCACCAUACAAAUAGUGUCUCCAAAAUUUUAAGGCAAAUACAAUAAUAGCUAGCUCUAAGUCAUGAGUCGGAUAAUUUUUCUCGUGUGGUUUCAAUUUCCUCGAUGCAUAGCUAUCACUUUACCCUCUUGCAUAAGCACAUAACCCAGUCCAUUUAAGGACUCAUCACUGUAAAUCGCAAAUUCUUUUCCCGAUUCGGGUUGUACUAAAACUAGAGCUUCUGCCAGUAAUGUCUUCAAUUUAUCAAAACUUUGCUGACAUUUUUCCGACCAUUCAAACUUAACAUCUUUUUGCAGUAACCUCAUCAAGGGAGUUGCAAUCAUUGAAAAUUCUUUCACAAAGCGUUGGUAAUAACUGGCUAAACCCAAAAAGCUUCUAACCUCUGUUACGCUCUUUGGCAGCUUCCACUCGACAAUAGAAGAAAUUUUAUUCGAAUCAACUUGGAUGCCAUCACCCGACACAAUAUGAUCGAGAAAUCCAACUUCUUGAAGCCAAAACUCGCUCUUGCUAAACUUUGCAUAGAGUUUCCUAUCCCGUAAAGUCUAUAAAAUAGUCCUCAAAUGUUCAGCAUGUUCAGACUCAUUCCGAGAAUAGAUCAAAAUAUCAUCUAUGAAUACUACUGCAAACUUGUCCAAGUACAGCCAGAAUACACGAUUCAUUAAAUCUAUAAACACAGCUGGGGCAUUUGUUAGACCAAAAGGCUUGACGAGGAACUCAUAGUGGCAUACCUCGUCCUGAAGGCAGUCUUAGGGACAUCUGCCUCCUUAACUCGUACCUGGUAGUAGCCGGAUCUCAAAUCUAUUUUUGAAAAUAUGGUGGCUCCCCUCAACUAAUUGAACAAGUCGUCAAUCCUUAGCAAGGGAUACUUAUUCUUAAUAGUCACCUUAUUGAGUUGCCGGUAGACUAUGCACAACCUCAUCCAUCCAUCUUUCUUUUUCACGAAUAAAACAGAAGCACCCCAAGGUGAAGAGCUCGGUUUUGCAAAACCUUUGUCAGUCAAUUCUUACAACUGUGAUUUUAACUCCUUCAACUCAGUUGGGGCCAUUUUGUACGGAGUAAUAGAAAUAGGCAUCGUUCUCGAUACUAGCUCAAUACCGAAUUCCACCUUUCUAAUAGGAGGCAACCCUGGUAACUCUUCUGGAAACACGUUCAGAUAUUCACAGGCUAUCGGUACCGAUUCAAUCUUCAAUUCAGAUUCUUUAGUAUUCAAUAUGAAUGCAAGGUAAGCUUCACAUCCUUUCCUUAUAUACCUUUGAGCCAUCAUUGAAGUAAUCAUAGCCGGCGGUGUAUUCAACUCAUUCGAAUCAACCCGUAGAAUGUCACCAUCUGAACAUUUUAAUUCCAUGUACUUGCUACUGCAGUUUACUAUCACAUCAUGGACGGUCAACCAAUCCAUACCAAGUAUUACAUCAAAUUCGUCAAAUGGCGAAAGCAUAAGAUUUUCCGGAAAACAAUGCCUUUGAAUUGUCAAAGGGAAAUUCUUACAAACUUUAUCUACUAAUACCGACUUGCCUAGAGGGUUCAACACCUUAAUUACAAAUUCCAUUGAUUCCACAAACAUGUUCAUGCUAGACACCAAUUUCAUGCAUAUGUAGGAAUGGGUUGAGCCCGGAUCAAUUAAGGCAAUAACAUUACUAUUAUGAAGAGAAAAUGUACCCAUAAUGACAUCGGGAGUUAAAGCUUCCUUUCUAACUCAUAUCGUAUAAGUCCUUGCGGGGGCUCGAGCCUUUGAUUUUGCAGUCGUAUCCUUGGCAGCAGUUCGACUACCACUUGUACUUCCAGGAUGUUGUGGUGGUCUACCUCGAGGAUUAGGAACAUUAGACUUUGGGACUAAAUCCAGCUCUUUAUUGGCUCGUUCAACCACAUCUAAAACAUGCCCCACUCUUCAUUCAGCAUUCCCCGAAAUGAAACUUGUUGUAGGUUUUACAUCUUGACUUUUGAUUAUUUACAUUCUCCACACUAGUAACCUUAGGGGAUGAAGACUUUGGGUUGUGUCGUUUAAAGCUUCUCAUUUUGCCCGAAUAUCCCACCGAUGCAGGGAGCAUUCUUGUUGACUCUUUAAUUUCUUCGUGGAAAAGAAUGCGUUCUACCGCUAGAUCUCUUGCUCGAAGCUCUAGCUUCUCUCUUUGCUUGUUUUCUUUGAUUAUUCAGUUCCUCAGCCUUCUUGGCUCGAUCAGCUAACGUAGUUAACUCUCUUAUUUCAAGAAUUCCAACUAACAGUUUGAUUUUUUCAUUCAGACCUUGUUCGAAGCGAUUACACAUUUUCACCUCUAAUUGGACCCACUCACUUGCAUACUGACUUAGUCUCACGAACUCUCUUUUGUAUUCUGACACGGUUCUGUUUCCUUGUUUGAGUUCCAUGAACUCAUUUUGCUUCUAGUCCAAGAACUUUUGGCUGAUAUACUUCUUCCUAAAUUCUGCUUGGAAGAAUUCCCAUGUGAUACUCUCUCUCGGUGCUAUUGAGAAUCCUGUCUCCCACCAAUGGUAUGCAGUGUUCUUCAAUAGCGACACCGCACAUUUCAAACUUUCUUCAAGAGUACAUGACAGUUCAUCGAGAACUCUAAUGGUAUUCUCAAGCCAAAAUUUGGCACGUUUCGGAUCGUCAUCAAUUGUGGCCCUAAACUCUUCGGCUCUAUAUUUCCUAAGUUUGUCCACAGGGGCCUUACCAAUUCUCAUGGGUACCACACCUUGUGGCACUUCUCCUUCAGGUCAAGUAAGGGGUGGAGGAGGUCGAGGUAUAUUGGGGCGGUUUCUCAGAUAAUCCCCAAACCAUUCAUCCAUCAACUCAAAGAAGGCAGUUCUUUCCUCUUCUCGACCUUCAGACACAGGCAUUCUACUACUACUAGUAGUGGCUCGUUGAACGAAAGCUGAAGCAUGGCUCUCGGCUCCCUCAGACUCAUCUUGAGCUUGAUUGGAAGACAUUUACUAUAGUCACAUACAAUUAAAAAUGGUUAGGAGAUGUCACACUAUCAUAACUUGUAUAAUGGCAUGUAUAGAUAUACUCGACAUAUGCUACGUUAGACCUAGAACCGGCUAAAUUGUAUCUCUGAUAUCACUAAAUGUAAGAAUCCUUACCUGUACCUAAGACCGGGACAAGGUACAAGCAUUAUUGUGCAUGAACAUGACAUUUUCAAAAAAAUUCGGGCUAUAAAAUUUCAUUCCAAAUUAAAACCAAUCAAUCAUAUUCAUAAUAUCCCUAUUAUGGACCUAAGAGGCCCAAAACAUACAUUGAGAAUGAUCCGAGACUAAACCGAGAACUUAAGAAAGUUUUUGGAAAAUUUUUUAGGUUAAACCUUACAUGCCCGUGAGGAGGCAAUGCACAUGCCCGUGUGCUUUGGGACAUGCCCGUGUCAUUUACCCUGUGGAAUUAAUUGAAUUUAUUUCUCGUUUCAAACCUACAGGGGUUUUCACACGGCUGAGCACACGCCCGUGUCCAUGGCCAGUGUACUUCAUAAUGCCUAGACAUGCCAGUGUUGUCACCCGUGCCCAAAAACUCGAGCAUUCUGUUUAUGACGUCAACAUGCAUUUAGGGACACACGGCCAGGACACACACGCGUGUGCUAGGCCGUGUCCUCCACACGAUUGAGACACAUGGUCGUGUCUCUACCCGUGUGUUUACUACCAUGCAGUCUGACCUAAAACUUUUAGGUGCAGGGGACACACAGCCAUACCACACACCCAUGGGGCUGACCGUGUGUCACACAGGGCCUAGACACAUGCCCGUGUGUCUAUUUGUGUGGACUUUUUUGGAGGCUACAAAUCUAAGUCAAUGGUCACCCUCAAUAACCACUUAUAUUCGUGAACUUCAAUGAUGUUUAACAUGGCCUAAAUAUGCCCAAGUACUACCAUAAAUGGUCUAUUGCAUGUUAACCUCAUCUCAUCGGUUAUGUACAUGCUAAUUUAUCCUCUUUGUAUUUAGGAUUUACAUCUCAUUCAAAAAAACAUUUAGACUUGGCCCAUUGUUAUAACUUAUUGCCAAUUAUGACCUAACCAUCCCAAGUGAUUUGGCCACAUUUCAUAUAUCUAUUUAUAAUAUACUACAUUUAAUCAUCACAAGAACAUUUAACCACAAACAAGCACAAUUAGUAGGUCAUAACCUACAUCAAAAUGAGCCAUGUCUUAUGGCCAUAUACAAAAAGAAUAAGUUUAAUAUUUAAGCCUUUACAUAGGCCAACCAAUGACAUAUAUCACAAAAUAACCAAAACCUAUACAUGCCAUUGAAAAAAAUAAAGUAUCUAUAUACCAAAGCAAAACAAGUUGAUAGUGUUGACAAUACUCCAAUUGCCUUCCAAUCUUCACAAGUCCACAAGCUCUGUAAAACAAGGAAAGGAGAGGGGGUAAGCAUUAACAUGCUUAGUAAGUCCAAAUAAUGGGAAAGUAAACUUACCGGGUAUUUAGCAUGAAAUCAUACAAGACAUUCAGGCCAAACAUUCAUAGUAAAAUUUUCUAUCACAUGUACUUAACCAUCAAGUUAGUCUCAUACCAGUACAAUGUAACAUCCUUCAUAGAUGAGCUUAUCAAUUCAAACAUGUCUAUUCUCAUUUAACAUUUUAAUCCCGUCUAAUUUCUUGGAAACUCAAUGGAUAUCUCAUUUACCAUCAAGUCAUGCACGUGAUCCUUUAAAUAUGCACUCCCGUGAACCUCACUUUUAUGACGGGAUUACCAGUCCAGGCUAAAUCCUCCACAACGUAACUCACAGAGUAAUGUCGGGAUUACCAGUCCAAGCUAAAUCCCUUACAAUGAAAUAUACUCCUACGAGUUCAGGUCUGAAUUAUCAGUCCAUACUAUAUUCAGAUCCUAUUCGAAUUACCAGUCCGGGAUAGAUCCUUUAUACCAUUAUUUCAUUUUCAAGUAAUCCAUGAGACAUCCCUUUUUAUUCAACCAGGACAUUUCAUCAUAACAUUAAUAUUUCAUGAGUUGUCAUACAAUAAAUAUUACUAUUAUAAUUCAUACAUGUACAUACAUCUUUAAUGUAUUUUAAAGAUAGUUUACAUUCGAGUUACACGAACAUACUUGGUAAUUGCUUAGGUUUCGUAUUUUAGUUAUUCUAAAACCUUUCGUUUUCCACGAUCGAUCUCCGAAAUUGGUUCCUCGGGGUCUAUAUUAGUAAAAAUAAAUUAUUAAUACCUCAUGUUAUUUAUUUUGGCCCUAAAAUUCAACUCAGGAAAAAUGGUCAUUUUGCCCCUAACAUUUCAAAAUUUUAAAACUUAGUCCCUAGGCUCGUAAAAUGAAAUACAUGCAAUUCCUUGGUUACCCAAGCCUAGCCGAAUGUAUUAUAAACUCAUACUAGCCCACCUUUUACUCUAUUUCACAUUUCUACCACAUAUUUUGUACCUUUUGCAAAAAGGUCCUUUUAGGGGUUUUUCAUGAAAAUCACUUAGGAAAAGAUGUUUAACACACAUCUAACUUUCAUAUCCCCCCAUAAAUCAUCAAAGAAAAAACAUGUCACACAUGGUUCAUUUUGCAUACAUGAACUCUAGGUUAAAAUAUGGGUAGAAAUGGACAGAACAUGUUACAAAGAUCUAAAAAAUACAAAGAAUAUUAAAAACGGGGCUAGAAGUUACUUACUAUUGAGCUUGGAAAGUGAAGAAACCCUAGCUAUAGUGUCCCUUGGAAUUUCAGCAGCAAGAGGGAGAAGAAUGGGUGAUUUUUUUGCUUUUAUUUUCCCUUUUUAUUGAUUUUAUUGCCAAAUGACCAAAAUGCCCUUCCAUAUUAAACUUCUAAAAUUUUCCAUGCAUACCCAUUUUUGUCCAAAAUCUUAGAAAUUGAGAAAAUUACUCUCUAAGACCUUAUAAUUAAUAAUCUAAAGCAAUUUCAUGCAAAUUUCUUCUAGAAUCCAAGUUCUGCAAUUUAUUCAAUUUGGUCCUUAAUUUCCAAUUGGAUGCCUUACACUAAGAAUUUCUUCAUGAAAAUUUAACACAUACUUACUUUCAUAUUCUAGGCCUCAUAAUAAUCAUAAAAUAAAUAUUUUGACAUCGGAUUUUUGGUCCCAAAACCACUGUUCCGACUAGGCCCAAUUUUGGGAUGUUAUAGAAGGAUUCUUAAUUACACUGGUCUCGUCAUUUUUCCUCCCCGUAUAGUUUCACAUCUGUAGUGUUUGUUUCAAAGAGGACCCAAAAUGUAAACAUUCCUUUCUUAUGAGUGACUAUUCUACCCUUAGCGGUAUAAAAUGAGAAAAUUCAUCAACUGCAUUCUCUUUAUCUUUGGUUGAAAUUUCCUUACAAUCUGUUAUUUCAUGCCCCAUUUUACCAUAGCAAAAACAAAAUAUUGGAAGGUUUUUAUAUUUGAAAGUGACCUAAACCUUUUUCCCUACUUCCGUUGAAAUAAAAAUGGCUCUCCUCAAAGGUUUCUAUGCAUCAAUUUGUGUCUUUAGGCAAUAGAAAUCUCCUUGUAUUUCCAAUCGUAUCACCCUCAAAGAUCGACCCAAUAGCAUGCAUAAGUUUCUUUUUAUCACAUUCUGAGAGGUAAUGACCAAUCUUAAGCCAAAAAGGAUAUCAAACCAAGCAAAUCUGAUAUCUAUUAAUAGGUUUCGUUAACCUAUCAAAAAUAAGUUGCCACCGAAAAACCAUGGUCUACCCUCUAUUGUCCCUUCCAAAUCCUAUUCACUAUCAAACAAAAUCAAGAAGAGAUUUUGACAUACCACUUUAAUUUCAAAUUUCCUCAUCAUCUUCUAAAUGCUUUUUAAUUGUACCCUGAAAUUGUCAGGAUUAUAAGACUUUUUUGUCCAAACAGAACAUAUUAAUGAUAUAUUUCCAAUCGGGACCUCCGGCGAACUCUUCACUAAUAGUUGAACAAGUUUUUCCUCAAGAAAGGAAAUCUCAUCCUUCAUCAUACUCCCCUAUCAAAGUCACCACUCACCCUCAACCCAACUACAGUUACAAAAUUGUUUCUCUGAAUCACUAGAGAGAGCACUCUUGCCUUUUUUAUAUAAAAUAUUAUAACAAGAUGUAUCUGCUUUUGUUAUUUUUUCUAUAAAUAUCAUCUUUUUCUCAUGUCUUUCUAAAAACUUAGAAAAUUAAAGUUUCUGAGAUUAACAUAGUAGAAAUGCUCAACUAAAUAAAUAUAGUAGAAACUAUUUGUAAUCUUUAUGCAACAACAAACUUACAAGCUAAAGCUCGGUGAGAACGAAAAGUGCAAAUACAUCCAACUUAAGCACUUAUAUGAAGUAAUUAAUUUGAGUACCGCUUCUAAUAUACAAUUCUAACGGGACACUCAUUUGAGUAUAUCAACAUUAAAGUCAUCUUUUAACUCAUUGUUGGUAUUAGAAUAAACCAAUCAUCGACUCUCAAAAUGUAACACCCCAAAAUAUAGAGGGUUAGAUGGAAUGAAUCAUCAAGAAACGAGCCUUAGUCUUGAUGGAUAAGAGCUUAUUCUUGAUGGAAUCGAACCCCAUCUCCCCCAUUUUCUUUAGCAACUAGGGAACAAAAAUCAAGCUUGUUUAUAUGUUAAAUGUGAUAAGUAAGGCAUUUCUAUUCCCCCUUGUCCACAGGUUCAAAUCACGCCUCUCACCUUCCUAUUUACUUAUUUUGGACAAUAAGAAGGGCUAUUUUCCCAAUCAGUCCCUCAAAUUUGAAACUCUAAGUAUUUAAUAACUUUUUCUAAUCAUACAUUGAUUUUAAUUCCUUUUCAACCCAAAAUUGAACUCUUUUUCUUCCCCUUUAAAAUCCUCAUCUCCUUUUAUUUUCCCUUUCCCUUUUCAUAAAAAUUUUACAUUCUUUUGCUGAAAAUUGAUUUCUUGAAAACCUGAAUCAAGAUCAAUUCUUAUUUGAACCUGUCUCUUCUUCAAUCGUCGAAUCUACCAUCGAUAAUCUUUGAAAUUCCAUCAAAGAUAGGGAAACAUUCUAGUUUUAAUUACGUAGAACCUUAGAAUUUUUGAAUAAUAUCUUUCUUAAAAAUCUUUCGAAUCGAUUAUUAAUAUUUUAUGAUUUUUCUCGAAAAUCUUGAUAAUUUUGAUAAAUCUUGAAAGUCAAUAUUAAUUCUGAUACUGGCAACUCAGUCCAAUUCAAAGACCAUAAUAGAGGACUUAGUUUCCCUCAAGGACUAAUCACGAGAUCCAAAUCCAAGUAGCUAAAGUCAAAACUCAACUUAUUUGUUUAAGACUUUAUCAUAAAAUAUUCGAGAAGAAAAGUUGAAACUUCAAGACAAUGGAUUUUGGAGCAAGGAUGAAUUAGAAGGGAUUAAUUUUGUUUGUGGACCUAAACUCUCAAUUUAUGAUGACAAGCCCAUGUGGAAAAUGUUAACAAGUUCAGACGUUUCAUUUCAAGGACCCUAAUCAAUCCCACAAGCUUAGAAGUUUCAUAUUGGGUUCGGGUUUUAGGCUUAAUUUUUAUUAUAUAUGAGCCCAAUAUUGUAUUUAUCAACUCUUAUUAUUUUAUUAUUUCAAAAUUUUGACAAUUAUUAAGUAUUUGAAGUUAUUUAGGAGUUUCAUGUCAACAAGAAAGUUUAGUUUAAAACUACUUCUUGUGUAGGUUAAUUGGAGUUCUAGUAUACUUAAGAGAUUUAUUUAGAUUUAUUUACCUAGCCUAUAUAAAGGCAUUUGCAUUGUACACAGAAAAUCAAUUCAUUAUUAUUCACUUCGUGUUUAUAAAUUUUUCUUUGAGUUUUCUAUUCAAGUAAUUUUCUUAUUUUUUCUUUUAAAAGAGUUUUAACAAUCUUUUCAGAUUGUGGGGAUCAUAUUCAAACUUUUUCUUGCCAAGUUUUCUUUCUUGGAGGGGAAAUUAGAGCCGCUUGAAGGGGGUUCUAAAUUCUUCUUGUUUCCAAGGCUCCUUAGGUCUUCUACACGCCAUGUUCUAUCUUUUCCAUCUAUAUUCUUUAUUUCCUUCUUUAUUAUUCUAAUAUUUGAUUUAUCUUAGUUAUUUAUUUUAAUUGUUUUAUUUGACUUGGAUUCGAUUGCGUUUCAGGUUGUGCCAAAAUUCAAGUUUUUUCUCUUAAUGUCUAGAGCCCUAAGUCAAAUCCGUGACUUAGAAAAACUUUAUGAUCCUCUUCCACAAUCAUCUGCCUCAUUAUUUAUUAUUUGGUAUCAAAUUAUUGUCCAUUUUAGGUGUUCUUUAUGUUCUCAAAAAUUAAUUUCCAACAAACAGCCUCAAAACAGUUUUUUACCCAAAAAGUUUUUAAGAAAAAAUAUUUUAUAGUGGGUAAACAUUUUUAAAACGAUCUAAAAUUUUACAUAGUGAUUCUUGACACUCUUUUAGAAUAUUAAAAAUUCUUUCCCACAAAAAAAGAGAUCGAAAAAGUGAAAAAAUAGAAAAAUAAUAUGUGGUUUGAAUUUUGUGCCGAAAAUUUCAAGAUCAAAUAUACAUUAUUUUAGGAGGCUCCUGUUUAAAUUUUGCAAUUUUUGGAAAUCAAGAACACCUCAAACAAAGUUUGUCAAGUUGCUUAUCAAUUUUUCGGAUUUUCAUUUUUCUGGGAUUUUCAUUUGCUCUUAGCCUUAGGUUUUCAUUUGUUUUUUAUUUUUAUUGUUCAUUUACAUAUUCUAACACUUUAUUGUUUCUUGUGUUAGUAUGUUAAAGCAUGCUGCACAUUUCUUCCUCCAUGCAACACAAUUCUUUGGUGUCUAGCCAAUUUUGGACUCAUAGUGCUACUAGGUUUGCUUUGUUAGUUUGAUUCUAAUACCUUCUAAUUGAUUGAUACAGACACUUUUAAAAGACUCACAAGAUUAAUUCUUAUCUCGUUGAGAAUUUUUUUUCUGAGUGUAUAACUGUGAGGUUUGCUUAAAUUUUUCUUUUAAGUGUUGUGCUUUUUUUCUAGGCUAUCAUAAUGACUCAUGAUACUCGCAAUAACAAAGGGAGUGAUAAUCCAAGUGAAAAUCCACUGGUUACCACUGAGAACCUUGUUGGUUUCACAAUGAAAUUGAAAAACGACUCUAUGAGGUCCAUGAUAAGUUCAAACACUUGAUUGGCAAGAUACAGCAAGAUCUAGAUGACUGAGAGGCCAAAGACAGACAACGAGAUGCUAUAAUUCAGAAAAUUAGCAAUACCUUGAAUUCUUGGAUGCUCAAGUUAAGCAUUUGACUGAUCAUUUGGGCAAUGAUGAUGGUGUUGAACAGCCUUGUGUUCGUGGAAAUAAUGCUAGGCGUGCACCUCGUGAAGAUGAUGAAACUUUGGUUAAUAAUGAUCAUGAGCAACCUUCUUUGGCUAAACCAAAGUUCUCAAUUCCAUAAUUUUGAGGGGGAAAUGAUCCUAAGAAAUACUGUGAAUGGGAAUAAAAAAUUGAACUUAUGUUUUGUUAUUAUAAAUACCUGGAAGAUGAAAAAGUCCUAUUGGCAACCCUUGAAUUUUUGAAUUAUGCAUUGAGUUGGUGGACUUAACUUGGAAUUAGUUGUUAAAGAAACCAAGAAAGGGAAAUUGAAACAUGGGAUGAGUUGAAACAAGUGAUGCGAAAGCAUUUUGUUCCUUCUCAUUACUACAAUAAUGUCCAAAUGAAACUUCGACGCAUUGUUCAAGGCAGUCGGUCAGUUAAUGAGUAUUUCAAGGAGAUAAAAAUGGUCAUACAAUGAGCAAAUGUUGAUAAGGAUGAUGAAACCAUUAUGAUACGUUUUGUUGAUGAUUUGAACAAGCCUAUAGCCAACACUUUACGAUUACAGACUUAUAUAGAUCUCGAUGAGGCAGUUUACAAGGCUAAUGAGAUUGAACAACAAUUGAAAGAACAAGGUCCCUCGUUCGUUCUCCACUUCACAAUAUUAUAGAGGUAGAAGUUCUAAUUCUACCUUUAAGAAUUCAAAACAACCUUUUACUGCUAAUAAUUUUUUUAAAAGUGGUGAUACAAGAAAACAUAUUAGAAAAGUGGGGCUCCUACGAAAAUCCAAGUAUCUUCUAAGCAACCCAAUUCGAGUGGUUCCAACACGAGGAGAAAUCGUGAGAUUGAGUGCUUCAAAUGUCAAUGACAUGGGAAUUACAGUAGAGAUUUCCCUAACACAAGGCUUCUCCUUAUCAAACAAAAUGGUGAAUAUACUUCUGAUUCUGAUAAUCCAGACAUGAAAGAGUUUAUAAAGACCUCUAUAAGGUGAAGCAUGACACCUUGCAAGAAUAUCUUCCAUUUCCUCCUCGGCCACACACUUUUGAAUAAGCUAAUCAGUACACUAUUGAAAAGUGUAUGGCUCCUCCAAAAUGCAGUCUUUAGCAUCAUGAACUUUUUUUUCUUUUGUUGACUUUUGUUGACUCGAUGCUUCAAUGGGAAAAACACCUCGCACUAAGUAAUUAACAAUGUCAUCAUACCAAGGUAUGGAUGGUAUCUUAUCUCUCACAUACAACACUACACACGGAAUAACUACUCAUCCAUAAAAGUCUUAUUUAUGUCUCAAAUCCCAUAUUGGUCAUUCUCAAACUCCAACCGAGAUAAGUGAUCUGUAACCUAAUUCUCUUUCCUUUUCCUAUCUAAAAUCUACCGAUCAAAUUCUUGAAGAAAAAAUGACCACCUCAUUAACUGAGACUUUGUUUCCUUCUUCUUCAUCACAUACUUCAAUGUCAAAUGAUCCCUAUGUACAUAAACUUGAUUUUCCAUCAUGUAUGGCCGGAGCUUCUCACAUGCGAACACCACAUCUAACAUUUCUUUCUUAGUAGUAGUGUAAUUACAUUGGGCAGAAUUCAAUAUCUUGCUAGCAUAGUGAAUUGCGUGGAAAACCUUUUCUUUCUUCUAACCCUAAAUUACUCCCACUACAUAAUCACUAGUCUCCCACAUAAUCACAAACGACUUUACCCAAUUAAGGCUAAUAAUGAUCGAGGCAGUGAUUAGCCUUUCCUUCAGGGUGUUGAAUGCUUGAAUGCACUUUUCAUCGAAUGUGAAUGAGACAUCUUUUUUUAGGAGAUGACUUAACAGUUUUGAGAUGUGAGAGAAAUCCUUGAUGAAUUGUUGGUAAAAUCUGGCAUUCCCAAGGAAGUUUCGAAUUCCUCAAAUGAAAUAUGGAGGUGGCAAUUUCUUAAUAACUUCAAUCUUAGUACGAUCAACCUCUGACCCCUUCUUAGAAAUCCGAUGACCAAGAACAAUCCCAUCAUUUACCAUGAAGAGACAUUUCUCCCAAUUUAGAACCAAAUUUGUAGCUGUCAAUUAGGUUGCUUUUGGAGAUCACACUGUCUGUCAACUCUUUCAGUAGUUAUAGAUUUAUUUUGGCCAGUUAUAAGUGGCAUGUAAAUAAGGCUUUGGUUUAUGCAUUUUGAUGAUCAUUUGGUCCUAUUUUGUGCCAUUUGAAUUAUGAAAUAUAUGUAUUGAUUUAAAUCCUUAAUGGUAUUUGGUUGAUUUGGUAUUUGAUGGAAUAGGUGUGCUCAAAACUUAAUGCAUUGCUAGUUUAUUGAAUUUGUACAUACAUGAUAGGUUAAUUGGUGAAACUCAAUUGGUGAUAAAUUGGCUUUAGAAGGCUUGAUAUAAAUGGUUGAUUAUAGUAUAUGUUAGUUGGAAAUUAUUGGAUGAUUGAAUAAUGUUAAUAUGUUGAUUAUGUCUUGCUUUGGAUGGUUGUUGUUUAUGUUGAAAUGUAGUGCCAAUGAAGGCAUAUUUGUUAAGAACAUAGGUUGAAUGUGAAUUGGCAUAUUUUGGUGCACUUUGAAUAGGUUAAUGUGAUGGUAAAUGUAUGGCUUGAUGUCUAUGAAAUUGUAGGUAAAUUGGCUUAUGUUUGAAGGUACUUUGGGUACACAUAGUCUGCCGCAGGGUCGUGUGUCCCACACGAUUGCAAGACAUGACCAUGUGGCCUAUUUGAUUUUCGAUAUAAAUUUGUCUACACUAUUUCUGAGAGUUACAUGACCUGGUGACACAGCCAUCUGACCCUAAGUUACAUGGACUCAAGUUGUUACACAGCUUGGUCACACAAUUUGGGCUUUGUCACACAGCCAUGUGACACCUGUUUUCACUUUUUACCUAAAUUUUUAUAUAAGUUUUAGUUUAGUCCAAAAUUGUUCCCAGUUUGUUUUAAAUGUUUUGCAUGUCCAAUUUAGGUUUGAAUAUGAUUGAUUAACAUGGAAAUGAUUGUAAUUGAAUUAUGGAAUGAAUUAUUUGGUUAUUUAUGAUAAGGUAGCUAAUAAGUUGAUGUUUUAUAAUUAUAAUACCUUAUAACUUGCUUUGGGUGACCAAACCGGGUAUAGGGUGUUACACCUACGAUCAAGAAUCUAUAUAUUUUUCAAAGAAAUUGCUUGGUUACCUUUGUUAUUUGAAUGGUUAAAUGUUGAAUAUUUGAAAUAGGUUUCUUCUUUUCUUUCUUCAAUUUAAACUACCUAAAUGAGAAAGGAUGAUGAUGGCUUUAAAUUUUUAUACAUUUUAAUUAUCAUAUUAAAACUAGUGGGAAACAUAUCAUCUUCCACUAUCUCAUGAUAAACAAUAGUUUAUUAACCAUGUUGGUCCUUUAGAUAAUUGCUAUCUAGGCCCUCAAGCAUCAACUUACAGGCUUUAAUUAGUCCCUAAGCUUUCAUUAAAGCUAAGAGACUAAUUUAUGACAUAUGAAUGUGACAUCCUGAUGCCUAGACUUGGCGAUCGGGUCGGGUAUGGGGUGUUACAUUUGGUGGUAUCAGAGCCUAGGAUUUUCGAUUCUCGGGCUAAAAAUGAGACUAAAAAAAUACAUGUUAUAUAUUAAAUAUAUAUAUUAAUGAAAUGUGUAUUUGAAAUUAGAAGAGAUGGAGAAAUGGGACUUAAAUUAUUUUUUAAUAAAUAAUGAUGUUAGCAAUAUUCGCAUGAAAUAUAGAUAUGAGAAAAAAAUAGAGUUUGGACUUGAGAAAGUAAUGAAGAAGUGAAGGUAAUAAAAAAAUAUCACAUGAGAUGAAGCGACAAGAAUAUAAGACUAAAUUGUAAAAAUUUGAAAACUAUGUGAUUGAAAUAAGAGAAGUGAAAUGUAUAGAAACUUGAUAUGUAAAAAAAAUAUGAAAAAAGAAUUACUUGAUACAUGAAAGAGAAUGAAAUUGAAGUAAUGGAAUUAUAAAAAAUUAAAUCUUUGUGUUAAUAACUUGUUUUCAUUAUGUAAUGCUUUUGGAUAUUUAUUUUACUAUAACUAGUUAUAUUAAUCUUAUUUUUUGAGUUUUGUAUGAUUUUGAAUGAUUUAAUUAAUAUUUAUACAAUUAUAUUUUGAGAUGAAAAAUAUGCUUUCAAAUGAUUAAAUUAGCAAAUUCUUGGUUAUAAUUUGAGAUUCGAAAUAUUAUGAUUUCUAACGAUGAACAAGCAAAUGUUUGAUUAUAUUUGGUUGAAAGCAUAAGUUUUUUUUAUAUGAAGUAUAUGAUUUGAAUAUGAAUUGAGACUAAAAUGAGAAUGGAAAUGAUAGUAGAAAUGAAAUUGAUAUGAGAAAGAAAAUCAGAUUGAUUAUGAAAAUUUGAUAUAAUUGGCAUGCCAUAGAAUAUUUACAUCAGAGAUUUAAAACUCCCCAAUUUCCCAAGGGUUAAGGGAAGAAAGACUAAAUAGUUAGAUAAUAUUAGCCCCAAUUCCCAGAAGGUCGUGGGCAGUCCUAAUUCCCAAAGCGUACUGGACUUAUUUUGAUAGCCACCGUUGCCGAACAACUCAUGGUGGCAGAUUCGCAUAUUUGAACUUAAGUCUAAAUUUUAGCGCCAAGAUUAACUUGAAAAAAAAUGAAACGAGAAUGAUGUGAAAAUUAAAUGAAAUGAAUUAUGAAAAUUGGUUUUUACCUCGUUAGCUAAGUUAGACUGAGUUUGGUUAUAGUUGGCAUACCAUUGAGUUUUUAAAUCAGAGAUAUAGAACUCCCAAAUUCCCAGAGGGUUGUAGGCGAUCCCAAUUCCCAGAGGGUUGUGAACUUAUUCUGAUAGCCAUCGUUUUCGAACAACUCGGGGUGGUGGACUCGUGUAUCCAAUCAUAAGUCUAAACUUUAGUUUGAGGACUAAUUUAAAAGAAAAGCGAAAAUGAAAGUAAAGCUGUAAGUAUAUUGAAUUAUUUGUUGAUAAGGGUUAAAAUUGUAAAAAGAACAAGACUUGAGUUGUUUUAUUCCUUGUAAGUAAAAGAAGUGAAAUAAAUGAAAGACAAAUGAGAAUUAAUAAGAUAUGAUUAGCACUUCGGUGCGAUAUUAUGAUUAUGCACUUCGGUGCAAUAUUGUGAUUAUGCAUUUCAGUGCAUUAUUGUUAAUUUUCUGCAUAUCUUAUGAGUUCUCUUAAGUCUACAAUGAGUUAUAUAAGUGAAAAAUGGAAAGUGAAUGAUUAGUAAGAUUUGGUAUGUGAUUGUGAUGAAAAGUUAACUAAUGUUAAAAAAAAUUAAUAACUAUUACUAAUCUUGAUAAUUUUCUUGAAAAUUUUAAGAGGAAAAACAUGAUGAAUGAAAAUACGAUCAAGUGAUAUUAGGUGAUUUUAAUUAAGUGUAUAAUACUUUAAGUGAUGUGGCUAGUGGAUGAAAUUGUAAAUGAAAUAAAAAUAAGUUAAGUAAUUAGUAAAAUUGACUUUUGUGAGUAAAUAUAUUGAAAUUGGUAUAAUAGACUGCCUAUGUAAAAUGAUAUUGAAUUAUGAAUAAUUAAAAAAACAUAAGAAAUAAAAGAAGUAAAGAAGUGAAAUUUAGCAAAAGAAAGGUAAAUACUUGUAUAAACUCUAUUUAUUUUUUCAAAGGAUUAAAUUGAAACAUAUUGUAAAUUAAGUGUAGAGAAUUCAAAAUAAAUUAAAAAUAAUAUUAGUGUGGGAUUGAUGGAGAGAAAUAAUAUUUAAAAAUAUUAUAAGAAUUAAAAUGAGUAAAUUGACAUGUAUGAGAAAUGAUAAAUGAAAUAGGAAAGAAUUGUGAAAUGCACAGGACAAAUUAGAACGUGAGAUUAAUUAAAUAAGAUGUGAAAGUGUAGAGAAAGAUAUAAAUAAGUAUUCAUGAGUUAGAAAUUAUUAAGUGAGAAAUGAUUUAAUUAGUAACUAAAUGAAAUUAGUAAAGUGAGUAUAGUAAGUGAUAUUAAAUCAUGAUAGAGUAAAUAAGCGACAAAAUAUGAUAAAGUGAUAUUGAAACACAUUUAUAGGGGUGUUAUUAAAUUGUAAAGGAUUAAGUUGGAAUGAUUGUAAAGUUAAGAGUCAUGAAAAUUGAUGUAAAGGAAGGCUAAAUUGCAAGAGUAUAAAAAUAUAGAAGUGUGAAAUAAAGACACUUAAAUUUAAUUAUAAGAGACAUUAAAGUAGUAAAUUAAUGAAUAUUGAUUUGUAAGAAAAUAAUGAUUAAAAUGCAAAUAGUGUAAAUUUCUUGAUAUGCUAUUAAUUGAUAAAUGAUAGCGAUGGAACGUGUAACACCCUGAUAAAUUUAUUUUUGUUCCUAUAAAUAUUUAAGAUAAAUAUCUAUCUGCUUUAGUGGUUCAGUGUUCUGGGUGUGUAUAAGAGAUCUUGAGUUUAAGUUUCUUUUUUACCAAAUUUUUUUAUUUUUCUGAUCUAAGCCUGACCCUUGUGGAGUGAGCUUAUAUAAAAUUAUCUGUGAAACUUUAUCAAAAUGAGCUUAUUGGUUUGAUCGGUAAGGGGGUUGUUAUGUUAAAGGUCUUGUGUUCAAGUCUUUACGUGAGUGAGGGAGUUUAUUUUUGUUUCGGUUGGUUGGAAGAGUUUGGGUGGUUUUGAAAUUCUAGGUGGUUUGGAUGUAGUGGGGAUUGUGCAAAUUAAUUCUUUUGUAAUUAUUUUGGUUAUUUUUCAAUCUCUUCAAGUUUUUUUUCUGACGUCUUCUUCUUCAAUACUUGUUUUCCAAAGGUUUUCUUUUAUUUCUACUUUCUUUGAUUCCUUCUCGUCAUUCAACUGUGAAAUUUCUGUGUUUUGGGAUCUGUAAUUCCUGCUUGGCCUGUGGUAGGUAAUUAUUCUUGAAGAUUUGGGUGUUUGAAAAUCAUUUUAGGGAAGUAAUGCUGUGAUUUCUUGUGUAGGUGUUGUGCAAAGAGAUCAAAACCCAUCGUCCAUUGAGUAGUGUGUUCGAGCCAUUGUAUCUAUUGUGGUAAGUAAUCGAACUUUCAUUUAGAGAAGUUUUUGCUAGUAUGUCGUUUGGGAUUUUGUAAAACCCCAUACCUAUAUUCAACGCUGGAAUAGGGCACGAGGCAUUACCGAAAUUAUACACAAGCAAUCAUACAAAACCGAGACAUAAAUUUUCAUCCAAUUUAAAAUUGUCACAUACAUUCACAUUGUCCCUAAAAUGAGCCUACAAGGCCCAAAACAUGCAUUGGAAGUGGUUCAGGACUAAACUGAGAACUUUAGAAAAUUUUACAGAACUAAGUAAAUUUUUCACUAAACAGGGGUCACACGCCCGUAUGGAUAUGGGACACACCCAUGUGGGACGGCCGUGUGGUCACACAUGCCCGUGUCCCGACCCCGUGCAACUUUCUUACUUACAACUCAUGACCAAAUUGAGCUCACACGGCCAAGUCACACGCCUAUGUGCAAGGCCGUAUGGAAAAUUAAUUUUCAUAAAAUAGGUGUAGACUUCACACAGCCAGAGCACACGCCCGUGUUAGAGGCCGUGUCAUCCACACGGCUGAGACACAGGUCCGCGUCUCUUCCCGUGUGCUCAAUUCUGAUCAUUCUGUUUUGCAAAAAUUAGGGUGCAGGGGACACACGGCCUAACACAUGCCCGUGGGGCAAACCAUGUGUCACACACGCCCGUAUGUCCACCCGUGUGGACAAAAAUAAGGCUAUUUACGAAGCCAUUUUGUCACCCUUCCAUACACAUACCUACAACAACAUACAACACCAAUCCAAGCACAUGCAUACAACCAAACCAGCCAUAACCAAGACAUCAACACCUCAUUCACAUACUAACAUUUAUCAUACACAAACUUUACACAUAUAUCAAUUCAAAUCAAGCAAAUUCCAACAUCCAUGAAAAGCAUCAUCAUAUAUAUACACUUAUACCAAUAUUAGCCAACUUCAAACGGCCAUUUACAAGAUGAAUUACCAACUAAUAUAGGCCAAUACACUAGGCCAGUUUAAUUAUGACACAUAACAAAAUGACCAAGUCCCUAUACAUGCCAUAGCUCAAAAUGUUGAAUUCAUUGGUACCCAAAAUAAUAAGUUGAUAAUGUGAGUGGAUCUUCGACAUCCUCCGAUCCCCGAGCUAGCUUGGUGACACUAUAAGGCAAUGGAAAAGAAAGGGGAGUAAGCUAUAUAGCUUAGUAAGUACCUAUGCAAAUAAUGAGCAUCAUAUCCAAAAAUUUAACAUGAUGAUAAUUGGCAUAAAUAUUAUUAAGAUCGUAUAAACAUAACUUACUCAAUCAUAACCUUACCGAGGGUUUAUCACGUAUUGAGCUCAUUACGUAUGAGUUUUACUACAUACCAAGUCAUCUUGAAUUGGAUUUACAUGCAAUUCAUAUAACAUCCCGAAUUAGGGCCUAGUAGUGGUUUCGGGCCAUAAAUUCAACGUUAAAAUAAUUAUUUUAUGAUCAUUAUGAGGUGUAGGAAAUGAAAAUAAGCAUGUGUUAAAGUUUCAUGAAGAAAUUCUAUGUCUAAGGUGUCCAAUUGGAAAUUAAGGACCAAAUUGAAUAAAUUACAAAACUUGAGUUCUAGAAGAAAUUAGUAUGAAAUUGCUAUGGAUUAUUAAUUAGAGGUCCUUAAAGAGUAAUUUUCCCAAUUUCUAAGUUUUUGGACAAAAUUGGGCAUGCAUGGAAAAUUUUGGAAGUUUAGUAAAGAAGGGUAUUUUGGUCAUUUGGUAAUAAACUAAAUAAAAAGGGAAAAAUCAAGCUAAAAUCAGCUCAUUUUCUUCUCCAUGCUACCGAAAUUCUAAGGGUCUCCAUAGCUACAGUUUUCAACAUUUUCAAGCUCAAUAGUAAGUGCUCCCUAGCCCCGUUUUUAACGCUCUUCGUAUUUUUGAGAUCCUCGUAACAUGCUCUCUCUAUUUCUACCCAUAUUUCAAGCUACGGUUCAUGUUCAAAAAAUUUACCCAUGCAUGAGAUGUUUGUAUUUUGAUUAUUUAUGGAGGAAUAUGAGAGUUUAAAGGAUAGUAAACAACUUUUACUAAGUAGUUUUUCAUAGAAAUGGCCUAAGGGACCAUUUUGUAAAAGUUGUGAAAAUAGGUAGAAAAAUGUGAAAUGAAAGAAAAUGUGGACUGCUAUAGGCAAGAAAAAUAUUUAGCUAUGCUUGGGUAACUUAGAAAUUUCAUGCAUUUCAUUAUACGAGCCUUAGGACUAAAUUGUAAAAGUGUGAAAGGUUAGGGGAAAAUUGCUCAUUUUGCCCGAGGUGAGUUUUAAAUCCUAAAAUGAAACAUGUGAUGUAUUAAUGGUCAAAUUUUAUUGAUAUAAACCUCGAGGAACCAAUUCCAGAGGUAGAUCAUGGAAAACGAAAGGUUUCGGAAUAGUCGAAAUGCGAAACUGAAGCAAUUACCAAGUAAGUUCGUAUAACCCGAAGUAAACUCUAAAUACACUUAAAUAUGUGUGUUCUUGAAUGUAUGAAAGUUUAGAUAUUCAUUGCAUGAUAAUUUAUGUAAUGUGCUUGUGUGAAUGAAAGAUGAUAAAUGUCCUAGUUGAAAUAGAAAGGGAAAUUCGACGGAUAAAUUAUGGCUUACAUGACAUGAGAUCCUGCGUUUGUUGCAGAAAAGGAUUUAGCCCAGACAGGUACUUUGACGAUCUCAAAAAAGAAAGGAUCUAGCCUAGACGGGGGUUCCUUGAGUGAUCGAGCCUCCCGAAGAACAUGGGUGCAUUAAGGAUUUAGCCCGGAUGGGUAAUUCGAUUGAGGACUGAAUUUAGCCUGCACUGGUAAUUCAGAUCCGAGCUUAUGACAACAAUUUUCAUUGAAAGGGAUUUAGCCUGGACUGGUAAUCUCGACAUUACUCUAUGAGUUAAUACUACAGGGGAUUUAGCCUGGACUAGUAAUCUAGCCAUAAGUUAUAAGGUUCAUGGGAACGCAUACUAGAGAUGAUCACUUGUAUAACUUGACGGUAAUUGGGCUAUCCAUCGAGAUUUCCAAGAAAUUCAAUGAGAUUAAUAGGAGAAAUAGAAAUGGAAAUAUUGAAUUGAUGAGCUCAUCUAAGACUAAUGACAUGAUGUAUUGUUAUGAGACUCACUUGAUGAAUAAGUGCAUAUGAUAGGGAAACUAUUUCAUGUUUGUUGGAAUUAGUACCUAAUAUGGUUGUAUGCUAAUUAACCAGUAAGUUUACUUUCUAGUUAUCCGGACUUACUAAGUAUAUAAAUGCUUACCCCUUUCUCUUUUCCCUGUCUUACAGAGCUUGUGGACUCGUGAAGAUUUGAAGACGGAUGGAGAAUCAACACACUACCAACUUGUCCUGCUUUGGUAUAUAGAUACUUCCAUUUUUUUAAUGGCAUGUAUAGGAUUUUUGUUUAUUUUGUUAUAUGUGUCAUUUGGCUAGCCAAUGUAAGGGCCUAAAUGGUAUACUUAUUCUUUUGUAUAUGGCCAUGAGAUAUGGUUCAUAUUGAUGUAGGUAGUAAACCUUCCAAUGAUGCAUGUCUAUGUUUAGAUGCUUUAAGAGAUAUGACGAUGUUUAUCAUGACUGGAUGAUUGAAAUGGAACCUAAUAAUUUGAGUGUGG
RNAcentral lists this long non-coding RNA (29352 nucleotides) under Gossypium barbadense (sea-island cotton). RNAcentral describes it as "long non-coding RNA (GBAR_LNC011438)". Lineage: Eukaryota; Viridiplantae; Streptophyta; Magnoliopsida; Malvales; Malvaceae. The record is from RNAcentral.